UCCUACGGGAGGCAGCAGUGGGGAAUCUUAGACAAUGGGCGCAAGCCUGAUCUAGCCAUGCCGCGUGAGUGAUGAAGGUCUUAGGAUCGUAAAGCUCUUUCGCCAGGGAUGAUAAUGACAGUACCYGGUAAAGAAACCCCGGCUAACUCCGUGCCAGCAGCCGCGGUAAUACGGAGGGGGUUAGCGUUGUUCGGAAUUACUGGGCGUAAAGCGUACGUAGGCGGAUCAGMAAGUWGGGGGUGAAAUCCCGGGGCUCAACCCCGGAACUGCCUCYUAAACUGYUGGUCUAGAGUUCGAGAGAGGUGAGUGGAAUUCCGAGUGUAGAGGUGAAAUUCGUAGAUAUUCGGAGGAACACCAGUGGCGAAGGCGGCUCACUGGCUCGAUACUGACGCUGAGGUACGAAAGUGUGGGGAGCAAACAGGAUUAGAUACCCUGGUAGUCCACACCGUAAACGAUGAAUGCCAGUCGUCGGGCAGUAUACUGUUCGGUGACACACCUAACGGAUUAAGCAUUCCGCCUGGGGAGUACGGUCGCAAGAUUAAAACUCAAAGGAAUUGACGGA
Molecule: ribosomal RNA, 562 nt
Filed under: uncultured Alphaproteobacteria bacterium
Lineage: Bacteria; Pseudomonadati; Pseudomonadota; Alphaproteobacteria
Description: bacterial SSU rRNA
Rfam family: Bacterial small subunit ribosomal RNA
Source: RNAcentral